This 199-nucleotide ribosomal RNA is filed under the name uncultured Streptococcus sp. RNAcentral describes it as "partial 16S ribosomal RNA". It matches the Rfam family "Bacterial small subunit ribosomal RNA", at positions 335 to 526 of the family's 1533-position model. Lineage: Bacteria; Bacillati; Bacillota; Bacilli; Lactobacillales; Streptococcaceae. The record is from RNAcentral.
ACUCCUACGGGAGGCAGCAGUAGGGAACCCUUCGCAAUGGGGGCAACCCUGAACGAGCAACGCCGCGUGAGUGAAGAAGGUUUCGGAUCGUAAAGCUCUGUUGUAAGUCAAGAACGAGUGUGAGAGUGGAAAGUUCACACUGUGACGGUAGCUUACCAGAAAGGGACGGCUAACUACGUGCCAGCAGCCGCGGUAAUAC